AACGAACGCUGGCGGCGUGCUUAACACAUGCAAGUCGAGCGGGAAAGUUUCCUUCGGGAAGCGAGUACAGCGGCAGACGGGUGAGUACAACGUAGGUAACCUACCCUCGAGACCGGGAUAACCUGUCGAAAGACGGGCUAAUACCGGAUAAGACCACAAGGGCUGCGGCCUUUGAGGUAAAAGAUGGCCUCUGCUUGCAAGCUAUCACUUGGGGGAUGGGCCUGCGCGCCAUUAGCAGUUGGUGAGGUAACGGCUCACCAAGGCAAAGAUGGCUAGCUGGUCUGAGAGGAUGGCCAGCCACACU
Molecule: ribosomal RNA, 304 nt
Filed under: uncultured bacterium
Lineage: Bacteria
Description: bacterial SSU rRNA
Rfam family: Bacterial small subunit ribosomal RNA
Source: RNAcentral